This 501-nucleotide ribosomal RNA is filed under the name uncultured bacterium. RNAcentral's name for it is "bacterial SSU rRNA". It matches the Rfam family "Bacterial small subunit ribosomal RNA", at positions 28 to 529 of the family's 1533-position model. The record is from RNAcentral.
GAUGAACGCUAGCGGGAGGCCUAACACAUGCAAGCCGAGCGGUAUUGUUUCUUCGGAAAUGAGAGAGCGGCGUACGGGUGCGGAACACGUGUGCAACCUGCCUUUAUCUGGGGGAUAGCCUUUCGAAAGGAAGAUUAAUACUCCAUAAUAUAUUGAACGGCAUCGUUUAAUAUUGAAAGCUCCGGCGGAUAGAGAUGGGCACGCGCAAGAUUAGCUAGUUGGUGAGGUAACGGCUCACCAAGGCGAUGAUCUUUAGGGGGCCUGAGAGGGUGAUCCCCCACACUGGUACUGAGACACGGACCAGACUCCUACGGGAGGCAGCAGUGAGGAAUAUUGGUCAAUGGGUGCAAGCCUGAACCAGCCAUCCCGCGUGAAGGACGACUGCCCUAUGGGUUGUAAACUUCUUUUGUAUAGGGAUAAACCUUUCCACGUGUGGAAAGCUGAAGGUACUAUACGAAUAAGCACCGGCUAACUCCGUGCCAGCAGCCGCGGUAAAACGUG